Caenorhabditis elegans is the source of this 167-nucleotide non-coding RNA. Lineage: Eukaryota; Metazoa; Nematoda; Chromadorea; Rhabditida; Rhabditidae. The record is from Ensembl.
GUAGCACUUGAAAUUCUCUACAUUUUGUCAGUGAACAACUUUUUGCUAUCUCUUUUCCCCGCGGAGAUAUGCAGAUGCCACUAGCGCCGUCUGCGUCUCCCCUCCCUCAACACAAUAUUUUUGUCUCUAACUUUAUCUUUCCGUAUCUUUUUGCAACGGUGCCAAGU